UUUAUAUAGUAUAAUUAUUAUAUUUAACUUCCAAUUAAAAGAUCUAUUUAUAGUAUAAAUAA
This 62-nucleotide transfer RNA is filed under the name Coleoptera sp. ACP-2013. RNAcentral's name for it is "tRNA-Gly". The record is from RNAcentral. Lineage: Eukaryota; Metazoa; Arthropoda; Insecta; Coleoptera.